AUGCACGCUGGCGGCGUGCUUCACCCCUGCAAGUCGAACGGAAAGGCUCCUGCUUGCCGGGGUACUCGAGUGGCGAACGGGUGAGUAACACGUGGGUGAUCUGCCCUGCACUUCGGGAUAAGCCUGGGAAACUGGGUCUAAUACCGGAUAGGACGAUGGUUUGGAUGCCAUUGUGGAAAGUUUUUCGGUGUGGGAUGAGCUCGCGGCCUAUCAGCUUGUUGGUGGGGUAAUGGCCUACCAAGGCGUCGACGGGUAGCCGGCCUGAGAGGGUGUACGGCCAAAUGGGGACUGGGAACCGGCCCAGACUCCUCCGGGGGGCAGCAGUGGGGAAUUUUGCCCAAUGGGCGCAAGCCUGAUGCAGCGACGCCGGGUGGGGGAUGACGGCCUUGGGGUGUUAAACCCCUUUCGCUGGGGACGAAGCGAAAGUGACGGUACCUGGAGAAGAAGCACCGGCUAACUACGU
This 463-nucleotide ribosomal RNA is filed under the name uncultured bacterium. RNAcentral's name for it is "partial 16S ribosomal RNA". It matches the Rfam family "Bacterial small subunit ribosomal RNA", at positions 29 to 506 of the family's 1533-position model. The record is from RNAcentral.